GCCACCCGGCCCCUGGCGUGUGCCGCCACUUAACCUCGAUCACCUUUCAAAACCACCAUGAGAGGGGAGUGUGCCACCACUUAAUCGCCCAGAGAGCUGCGGUUUGCGGUUAACCGCAGGUUAAUUGACGGCCCCGAGCCUCCACGUUCGUACCUUAUUUCCCUUCACGGCGGUCUACGUUCGUCUCCCGAACAGCUGAGACAUCCAGCCAGAGAGCGGGGAUUCGGG
Molecule: non-coding RNA, 228 nt
Organism: Pelobates cultripes (western spadefoot toad)
Lineage: Eukaryota; Metazoa; Chordata; Amphibia; Anura; Pelobatidae
Source: the annotation of a GenBank genome assembly